AAAGUGACAUUAUUUGAAAUGGGAUUAUUUAUUUAUUUAUUCUUAGAGUCGCCACUUGGGAUAAGAUUGGGUUUUGGUGUCCUAAGUGACCGGUUUAACUUGAAUCCCAAAUCGAGGAAAUUUCGACUUCCCAAUUGGAGUCUACGAACCAGAAAUUCUUAAUAAGGAAUUCUGGUAACCCUAGGGAAGCUGUUAGGCACCCCCGGAUCCCGUGGUUCUAGAAAAAUCGCUUAAAUUAUUAUAAAUGACUAAAAUCUAAUUUUUAUACAUGUUCAAAACUAUAGUGCAAU
This 290-nucleotide long non-coding RNA is filed under the name Nicotiana benthamiana. Its description in RNAcentral is "long non-coding RNA (NBEN_LNC029695)". The record is from RNAcentral. Lineage: Eukaryota; Viridiplantae; Streptophyta; Magnoliopsida; Solanales; Solanaceae.